This 402-nucleotide ribosomal RNA is filed under the name bacterium. RNAcentral's name for it is "partial 16S ribosomal RNA". It matches the Rfam family "Bacterial small subunit ribosomal RNA", at positions 355 to 776 of the family's 1533-position model. The record is from RNAcentral.
UGGGGAAUUUUGCACAAUGGGGGAAACCCUGAUGCAGCGACGCCGCGUGAUUUAGAAGGCCUUCGGGUUGUAAAAAUCUUUUCUAUGGGAAGAAAAUGACAGUACCAUAGGAAUAAGGACCGGCUAAUUACGUGCCAGCAGCCGCGGUAAUACGUAAGGUCCGAGCGUUGUCCGGAAUCAUUGGGCGUAAAGGGUACGUAGGCGGGUAAGCAAGUUAGAAGUGAAAUCCUAUAGCUCAACUAUAGUAAGCUUUUAAAACUGCUCAUCUAGGGGUAUGGAAGGGAAAGUGGAAUUCCUAGUGUAGCGGUGAAAUGCGAAGAUAUUAGGAGGAAUACCGGUGGCGAAGGCGACUUGCUGGCCAUAACCUGACGCUGAGGUACGAAAGCGUGGGUAGCAAACAGG